UUACCUUCAGCAGCACAUAUACUAAAACUGGAACAAUACAGAGAUUAAUAUGGCCCCUGUGCAAGUAUUCCAUAUUUUUUCUAAAAAGAUAAAUAAUGAUGU
Small nuclear RNA from Manis pentadactyla (Chinese pangolin), 102 nucleotides. Lineage: Eukaryota; Metazoa; Chordata; Mammalia; Pholidota; Manidae. The record is from RefSeq and is a predicted model, not a curated record.